AACGAACGCUGGCGGCGUGGAUAAGACAUGCAAGUCGAACGAGAGAAUUGCUAGCUUGCUAAUAAUUCUCUAGUGGCGCACGGGUGAGUAACACGUGAGUAACCUGCCCCCGAGAGCGGGAUAGCCCUGGGAAACUGGGAUUAAUACCGCAUAGUAUCGAAAGAUUAAAGCAGCAAUGCGCUUGGGGAUGGGCUCGCGGCCUAUUAGUUAGUUGGUGAGGUAACGGCUCACCAAGGCGAUGACGGGUAGCCGGUCUGAGAGGAUGUCCGGCCACACUGGAACUGAGACACGGUCCAGACACCUACGGGUGGCAGCAGUCGAGAAUCAUUCACAAUGGGGGAAACCCUGAUGGUGUGACGCCGCGUGGGGGAAUGAAGGUCUUCGGAUUGUAAACCCCUGUCAUGUGGGAGCAAAUUAAAAAGAUAGUACCACAAGAGGAAGAGACGGCUAACUCUGUGCCAGCAGCCGCGGUAAUACAGAGGUCUCAAGCGCUGUUCGGAAUCACUGGGCGUAAAGCGUGCGUAGGCUGUUUCGUAAGUCGUGUGUGAAAGGCGCGGGCUCAACCCGCGGACGGCACAUGAUACUGCGAGACUAGAGUAAUGGAGGGGGAACCGGAAUUCUCGGUGUAGCAGUGAAAUGCGUAGAUAUCGAGAGGAACACUCGUGGCGAAGGCGGGUUCCUGGACAUUAACUGACGCUGAGGCACGAAGGCCAGGGGAGCGAAAGGGAUUAGAUACCCCUGUAGUCCUGGCAGUAAACGGUGCACGCUUGGUGUGCGGGGAAUCGACCCCCUGCGUGCCGGAGCUAACGCGUUAAGCGUGCCGCCUGGGGAGUACGGUCGCAAGAUUAAAACUCAAAGAAAUUGACGGGGACCCGCACAAGCGGUGGAGUAUGUGGCUUAAUUCGAUGCAACGCGAAGAACCUUACCUGGGCUUGACAUGUAAUGAACAACAUGUGAAAGCAUGCGACUCUUCGGAGGCGUUACACAGGUGCUGCAUGGCCGUCGUCAGCUCGUGUCGUGAGAUGUUUGGUUAAGUCCAGCAACGAGCGCAACCCCUGUUGCCAGUUACCAGCACGUGAAGGUGGGGACUCUGGCGAGACUGCCCAGAUCAACUGGGAGGAAGGUGGGGACGACGUCAGGUCAGUAUGGCCCUUAUGCCCAGGGCUGCACACGUACUACAAUGCCCAGUACAGAGGGGGCCGAAGCCGCGAGGCGGAGGAAAUCCUGAAAACUGGGCCCAGUUCGGACUGGAGUCUGCAACCCGACCCCACGAAGCUGGAUUCGCUAGUAAUCGCGCAUCAGCCACGGCGCGGUGAAUACGUUCCCGGGCUU
Molecule: ribosomal RNA, 1332 nt
Filed under: uncultured bacterium
Lineage: Bacteria
Description: bacterial SSU rRNA
Rfam family: Bacterial small subunit ribosomal RNA
Source: RNAcentral